CAUUUGUUUUUCCUGCUCAGUCUGAUCUCUGUCUUCUCAGCUGUAAAUCUCGCCGUCUGUCUUUUGUUUUUUUGUAUUUCUCUUCCUGCUCGGCCUCCAGACCAGCAAUCUGAUUGGAUUUGGAGAGUUUGACGUUCAGAUGAGCGCAGACUUUCCUGACCAGAACUAAAGAUCAGCUCCUCAUCCUCUUGUUACCAGUGUACUCUUCAUGUCUUUGUUUAAUGCAGAGACUAAAGCCCCAUUUGGACGGGAUUAACUGUACGGGAGGAGGUGGGGACUUAAAUCUUCACUGUGGUCUUCUGUAAUGUAACCUCCAUAACUCUGCUAAGAAGUCAGAAAAAAGACACUUGUGUUUGUGCAGAACUUGCUUUUGGAACUUGUUUGUAACUUUUCUUCAGUAUCACAGUGAUCCAGUGACAGCUGUCUGUACGCCCAUGGGUUCACUGCAGACAGGAGAUGAUCGCAGCUAAUUCUGCAUACUUAGAAUAAAAAUAUGUGAAUAAAUGUAUAUGCUGUGAUUACUGCAGGUAUGGGUGGGUGGGCCAGGUAUUGUUAAACUAGCCCACCUCCUCUAAAAAAGAUCCAGUCCAAAUGGAGCUGAAGUCGGGUUUAGACGGGAUCUGUCACUUUAUUUUUGUACAUACAUCUGUUUUUAUUAAGUCCAUAAUACUCCCUGCUGUAAAACAGUGAAAAUAAAGAAUAUGAUUCUGCGUGCCUCCUUAAAUUUGCCAUAAAAUCACAUUGAUCAUUUUUAAACUUUAUUCAAACGUUGACAGAAUAUUAUGACAACGUUUCACAAUAAGACAUGAAAACAACAACGUGUCAGAUUGACUAUCGAUCCGUUCCAAAUGACAGUCAAUACAGCGCAUGCUCGGAUUUCCUCGAGUCCCCUCCCACACACAAACACACAACAGGAUUUCUGACCGUAAAUACCCUAAUAAACACGUGUAACAUUUGUCAGAGCGGCCGGGGAGCGUAAAAUCAUUCUUAAUCCACCUGAAACCACAGGAAACUCCGGCAGGAUCACCGUUAGAGCCAUCAUAGCGCCACAUUAUUGUUCAAGGAUUUUUACUAAAGAUAUUUGCUUUCAGGGUCAAUAAAAUGAAUUAAACCCAUAUCCUACCUAACCUUACUGAUAGCAAUGUAAAGAUGAAACACUAGGGGGCGCAAACGAAAAGCAGAGUUUGACUAAGUUGAACAAACACCUGUCAGCGCCGUGACACCAGAGUGUUGUAUGGAGCGGGUUGAAGCAACAGAGAGGGAACAGGAAUAUUUCAUCAUAAAGAUCGUUUCUCAGCAGGUUUUCAUUCAAAUAAAACAUUCUGACCAUCACAACUGAAUCUGAUUUAAUCAUUCCAACCCUCACAUAACUUUUGUUGUGAUCUGGCGUUAUAUAAACUGAGAUUGUGGUUAGGGUUAGGGUUAGGGGUGCGGGGGUGCGGGGUGGGGGUUGCACGGGAGGGGGAAGAGGGAAGAGGGGUGGGGGGUUCUUUUAUUUUAUUUUUUAACUUUCAGGCUGUGGAGCAGGAGACGCUCAAAGAAAAGUUGGCCCAUAAACUCAUAGCAAUCAUUUUUAAUUGAGAACAGCUGCAGCUUUCUUCUGAUUUCUCUGAUGAUGUCAAGUCAAUAUUUAUUUAUACAGCGUCAAAUCAUAACAGACGUCAUCUCGAGGCGCUGUACACACAGAGCAGGUUUACACCGUGCUCUUUAUAUUAUAAUAUUUAUAAGGAGACCCAACAAUUCAAACCAUGAGCAAGCGUGGUGUGUUCAUGAAACGGUCAAAGACUUUAAAGUGGGGAUGAAGUCAGUCAGAGUAUUACAAGAAACACAGAGCCUUCGGCAGCUCAACACAAACUAAGGUGGAGAUCACCUGAAACCCCCCUCUGUUCUCUACUUGACUUGGUACAGUCCAGUCAGACACUUUGUCAGAUUUGAGCGACAACCUCCGAGUGUCGUUUGAAUCAAGAGAAAUACGUGACAAAGUGUUAAAUGCAACACAAAUAUAAAACAAACUGACUGUUCUGCAAACGUCUGUGGAUUUAUAUGUUGUCCGCAGCAGUUCACACAAUAAAACAUCGAUCUUAUAGUGAUUUAUUCACGGGACAUUUUGUUUGGGGGAAUCACACACGUGUCAGAAACGGGAUUCGAUUCCCAUGAGACCUGCACAGAGUGAGGUCCAGCCGCCCCCCUCCUCUCCCCAGUGCACUGCCCCCCUCCCCCCACGCUCUCGUCUAUAUAAGGCGCGCCGGAAACAGCGACUUCCUCUUUGACACCCGGCGCGCGCAGACGGAGCCAGCGAGAACUGCUGCACGUGGUACAAACAUUUGAAACGGGAGGUGAGG
Long non-coding RNA from Lates calcarifer (barramundi perch), 2342 nucleotides. RefSeq lists it as uncharacterized. The record is from RefSeq and is a predicted model, not a curated record. NCBI's taxonomy places the organism in Eukaryota, Metazoa, Chordata, Actinopteri, Centropomidae. The transcript is spliced from 3 exons.